UCUGGGACAAGCCCUGGAAACGGGGUCUAAUACCGGAUACGACCACCGACCGCAUGGUCUGGUGGUGGAAAGCUCCGGCGGUGAAGGAUGAGCCCGCGGCCUAUCAGCUUGUUGGUGGGGUGAUGGCCUACCAAGGCGACGACGGGUAGCCGGCCUGAGAGGGCGACCGGCCACACUGGGACUGAGACACGGCCCAGACUCCUACGGGAGGCAGCAGUGGGGAAUAUUGCACAAUGGGCGAAAGCCUGAUGCAGCGACGCCGCGUGAGGGAUGACGGCCUUCGGGUUGUAAACCUCUUUCAGCAGGGAAGAAGCGAGAGUGACGGUACCUGCAGAAGAAGCGCCGGCUAACUACGUGCCAGCAGCCGCGGUAAUACGUAGGGCGCAAGCGUUGUCCGGAAUUAUUGGGCGUAAAGAGCUCGUAGGCGGCUUGUCACGUCGGAUGUGAAAGCCCGGGGCUUAACCCCGGGUCUGCAUUCGAUACGGGCAGGCUAGAGUUCGGUAGGGGAGAUCGGAAUUCCUGGUGUAGCGGUGAAAUGCGCAGAUAUCAGGAGGAACACCGGUGGCGAAGGCGGAUCUCUGGGCCGAUACUGACGCUGAGGAGCGAAAGCGUGGGGAGCGAACAGGAUUAGAUACCCUGGUAGUCCACGCCGUAAACGUUGGGAACUAGGUGUGGGCGACAUUCCACGUCGUCCGUGCCGCAGCUAACGCAUUAAGUUCCCCGCCUGG
RNAcentral lists this ribosomal RNA (728 nucleotides) under Streptomyces sp. RNAcentral's name for it is "bacterial SSU rRNA". It matches the Rfam family "Bacterial small subunit ribosomal RNA", at positions 137 to 876 of the family's 1533-position model. Lineage: Bacteria; Bacillati; Actinomycetota; Actinomycetes; Kitasatosporales; Streptomycetaceae. The record is from RNAcentral.